UAGGUAGAGCUGAGAGUAGGAG
This 22-nucleotide unclassified non-coding RNA is filed under the name Mus musculus (house mouse). Its description in RNAcentral is "oocyte_clustered_small_RNA4621". The record is from RNAcentral. Lineage: Eukaryota; Metazoa; Chordata; Mammalia; Rodentia; Muridae.